AGGGGCAGCACAUAUAAGCUUGCUUAUAGGGUGGCGACCGGCGCACGGGUGCGUAACGCGUAUACAAUCUACCUUAUGCUGAGGGAUAGCCCAGAGAAAUUUGGAUUAACCCCUCAUGGUAUUAGAGAAUGGCAUCAUUUUUUAAUUAAAGGUUACGGCAUAAGAUGAGUAUGCGUCCCAUUAGCUAGUUGGUAGGGUAACGGCUUACCAAGGCUACGAUGGGUAGGGGUCCUGAGAGGGAGAUCCCCCACACUGGUACUGAGACACGGACCAGACUCC
Molecule: ribosomal RNA, 279 nt
Filed under: unidentified marine bacterioplankton
Lineage: Bacteria
Also listed under: 1 other name
Description: partial 16S ribosomal RNA
Rfam family: Bacterial small subunit ribosomal RNA
Source: RNAcentral